UGGCGCGCAUUUUCCUACGGAGUAAACAUUUGCACGUGGUGCACUGCAGCAGCCGGUGACCGGAAGUGACGUUCAACCCAGGAAGCAGCGUGUGAGGAGACCGAUGCAGAUGUGACCCGCUGCCGCCGCCGCCGCCGCCGCCGGCCUCCACCACACCGAGUCGGCCAGGGCAGCUACUCUUUUGAAUGUUGAGGUUUUUGGGUACCUGAAAGAAAAUGGUGUGCUUCAUCCAUUAGCAAAUUUGCAAGAGGAAACAAAUGUCUUCAAACACGAAGGACAGCUCUGUGGGUGACAUUAAAAGCGAGCAUCAGGAUCCAGUGCUGCAAACUAUUGUGUUUCCGAAGCUGCCGGACUAGAUGUUUGUUGGCUUCAGUGCACAGGGCAGCUACUCUUUUGAAUGUUGAGGUUUUUGGGUACCUGAAAGAAAAUGGUGUGCUUCAUCCAUUAGCAAAUUUGCAAGAGGAAGCAAAUGUCUUCAAACACAAAGGACAGCUCUGUGGGUGACAUUAAAAGCGAGCAUCAGGAUCCAGUGCUGCAAACUAUUGUGUUUCCGAAGCUGCCGGACUAGAUGUUUGUUGGCUUCAGUGCACAGGGCAGCUACUCUUUUGAAUGUUGAGGUUUUUGGGUACCUGAAAGAAAAUGGUGUGCUUCAUCCAUUAGCAAAUUUGCAAGAGGAAGCAAAUGUCUUCAAACACGAAGGACAGCUCUGUGGGUGACAUUAAAAGCGAGCAUCAGGAUCCAGUGCUGCAAACUAUUGUUUCCGAAGCUGCCGGACUAGAUGUUUGUUGGCUUCAGUGCACAGGGCAGCUACUCUUUUGAAUGUUGAGGUUUUUGGGUACCUGAAAGAAAAUGGUGUGCUUCAUCCAUUAGCAAAUUUUCAAGAGGAAGCAAAUGUCUUCAAACACGAAGGACAGCUCUGUGGGUGACAUUAAAAGCGAGCAUCAGGAUCCAGUGCUGCAAACUAUUGUGUUUCCGAAGCUGCCGGACUAGAUGUUUGUUGGCUUCAGUGCACAGGGCAGCUACUCUUUUGAAUGUUGAGGUUUUUGGGUACCUGAAAGAAAAUGGUGUUCUUCAUCCAUUAGCAAAUUUUCAAGAGGAAGCAAAUGUCUUCAAACACGAAGGACAGCUCUGUGGGUGACAUUAAAAGCGAGCAUCAGGAUCCAGUGCUGCAAACUAUUGUGUUUCCGAAGCUGCCGGACUAGAUGUUUGUUGGCUUCAGUGCACAGGGCAGCUACUCUUUUGAAUGUUGAGGUUUUUGGGUACCUGAAAGAAAAUGGUGUGCUUCAUCCAUUAGCAAAUUUUCAAGAGGAAGCAAAUGUCUUCAAACACGAAGGACAGCUCUGUGGGUGACAUUAAAAGCGAGCAUCAGGAUCCAGUGCUGCAAACUAUUGUGUUUCCGAAGCUGCCGGACUAGAUGUUUGUUGGCUUCAGUGCACAGGGCAGCUACUCUUUUGAAUGUUGAGGUUUUUGGGUACCUGAAAGAAAAUGGUGUGCUUCAUCCAUUAGCAAAUUUUCAAGAGGAAGCAAAUGUCUUCAAACACGAAGGACAGCUCUGUGGGUGACAUUAAAAGCGAGCAUCAGGAUCCAGUGCUGCAAACUAUUGUGUUUCCGAAGCUGCCGGACUAGAUGUUUGUUGGCUUCAGUGCACAGGGCAGCUACUCUUUUGAAUGUUGAGGUUUUUGGGUACCUGAAAGAAAAUGGUGUGCUUCAUCCAUUAGCAAAUUUUCAAGAGGAAGCAAAUGUCUUCAAACACGAAGGACAGCUCUGUGGGUGACAUUAAAAGCGAGCAUCAGGAUCCAGUGCUGCAAACUAUUGUGUUUCCGAAGCUGCCGGACUAGAUGUUUGUUGGCUUCAGUGCACAGGGCAGCUACUCUUUUGAAUGUUGAGGUUUUUGGGUACCUGAAAGAAAAUGGUGUGCUUCAUCCAUUAGCAAAUUUUCAAGAGGAAGCAAAUGUCUUCAAACACGAAGGACAGCUCUGUGGGUGACAUUAAAAGCGAGCAUCAGGAUCCAGUGCUGCAAACUAUUGUGUUUCCGAAGCUGCCGGACUAGAUGUUUGUUGGCUUCAGUGCACAGGGCAGCUACUCUUUUGAAUGUUGAGGUUUUUGGGUACCUGAAAGAAAAUGGUGUGCUUCAUCCAUUAGCAAAUUUGCAAGAGGAAGCAAAUGUCUUCAAACACGAAGGACAGCUCUGUGGGUGACAUUAAAAGCGAGCAUCAGGAUCCAGUGCUGCAAACUAUUGUGUUUCCGAAGCUGCCGGACUAGAUGUUUGUUGGCUUCAGUGCACAGGGCAGCUACUCUUUUGAAUGUUGAGGUUUUUGGGUACCUGAAAGAAAAUGGUGUGCUUCAUCCAUUAGCAAAUUUUCAAGAGGAAGCAAAUGUCUUCAAACACGAAGGACAGCUCUGUGGGUGACAUUAAAAGCGAGCAUCAGGAUCCAGUGCUGCAAACUAUUGUGUUUCCGAAGCUGCCGGACUAGAUGUUUGUUGGCUUCAGUGCACAGGGCAGCUACUCUUUUGAAUGUUGAGGUUUUUUGGUACCUGAAAGAAAAUGGUGUGCUUCAUCCAUUAGCAAGUUUGCAAGAGGAAGCAAAUGUCUUCAAACACGAAGGACAGCUCUGUGGGUGACAUUAAAAGCGAGCAUCAGGAUCCAGUGCUGCAAACUAUUGUGUUUCCGAAGCUGCCGGACUAGAUGUUUGUUGGCUUCAGUGCACAGGGUCCUAAAGUUAUCCACAGGAUUACAAUGGGAUAUGAUGGAGCGACAGCGGAUUGGCACCAAACGAUCACAAGUUUCAGACCUCUCAGGAUGCAACGGGCUCGUCCAUAUAACCCCUCCCACUGGCUUAGGCAAAUCAGUUUUUUGUUUGGUACGGCAGGAGUCAGACCAUGGUCACAGGGCUGCUGUGUUUGGCAGCGCUAAGCUUUUUUAUUCUAUUUUUAUAGUCUUACUACACUGUUUUUGAGUGAUCUUUCCUAACAUCGUCUUACACGCAUAUUGGAAAGAGUCGCUCCAACAACUCUCCGCCGGGUCGCAAGAAUGCUUACCCGCGGUACAAGUGCUGUCUAGAUGGUCGUCUGUGUCAGAUAUACUAGCAGGUCCAGCAGACGUUUACCAGGCUAUGUUCGGAGCACGGGGAGAAAGUAAGGCAUGUGUUCCACUUAGAAGGGGAAUACGGACACAGCCGCACUGUUUUGGGAGAGGAGACUACCAAACAGUAACUGGCGCGCUGCCACCACGGGUCCUCCAGCGCUAGGCCUGAAGGAUAUGAGGCACCAGGAUUAGUUUGAGGCUGCGAUCCCUAGGGUUGAUGUCAGUGGUGGGGAGUCAGACACUCUCCUGGUUGCCCCUCCCCACAGUUCAUGACCAUUUUUCUCACUUCUAUCUCAGACGCUACCACGAGGAGACUCGGUCGCAGCAUAGACCGCUGCGUCUGUGUACACUAAGGUUACCGCUAGGAGAUCGGGUCGCAGACGUGUGCAUCUGCAUGCACCAUGCACUAGCGUUCACUGAGCGUCUGAUUCCACUAAAAAGUUCACGGAGCAGCAGUGUACACUAGUAGCAUCUGGAUCCACUCAGCGUUUGCUAAAGUAUUGAUCGAUCCUGGAAGUGGGGAUAACUACACAAGAACAAGGAAUGUAUGAAGAACAAACACUUCAUUUUUGUUUUAUUACAAUUUAUUUUUUCGGAACAAUACAAAACACAACGGUUUAAUUUUCUUCAAUAAAAUUUUAAAUUUA
Long non-coding RNA from Pseudophryne corroboree (corroboree frog), 3732 nucleotides. RefSeq lists it as uncharacterized. The record is from RefSeq and is a predicted model, not a curated record. NCBI's taxonomy places the organism in Eukaryota, Metazoa, Chordata, Amphibia, Anura, Myobatrachidae. The transcript is spliced from 15 exons.